AUUGAACGCUGGCGGCAGGCUUAACACAUGCAAGUCGAGCGAGCGGCGGACGGGUGAGUAAUGUCUGGGAAACUGCCUGAUGGAGGGGGAUAACUACUGGAAACGGUAGCUAAUACCGCAUACCAUCGGAUGUGCCCAGGUGGGAUUAGCUAGUAGGUGGGGUAAAGGCUCACCUAGGCGACGAUCCCUAGCUGGUCUGCGAGGAUGACCGGCCACACUGGAACUGAGACACGGCCCAGACUCCUACGGGAGGCAGCAGUGGGGAAUAUUGGACAAUGGGCGCAAGCCUGAUGCAGCAACGCCGCGUGUAUGAAGAAGGUCUUCGGGUUGUAAAGCACUUUUAGCGGGGAGGCGUUACCCGCAGAGGAAGCACCGGCUAACUCCGUGCCAGCAGCCGCGGUAAUAC
RNAcentral lists this ribosomal RNA (406 nucleotides) under uncultured bacterium. RNAcentral's name for it is "partial 16S ribosomal RNA". It matches the Rfam family "Bacterial small subunit ribosomal RNA", at positions 30 to 526 of the family's 1533-position model. The record is from RNAcentral.